AGUGAACGCUGGCGGUAGGCCUAACACAUGCAAGUCGAACGGCAGCACAGUAAGAGCUUGCUCUUACGGGUGGCGAGUGGCGGACGGGUGAGGAAUACAUCGGAAUCUACUUUUUCGUGGGGGAUAACGUAGGGAAACUUACGCUAAUACCGCAUACGACCUACGGGUGAAAGCAGGGGAUCUUCGGACCUUGCGCGAUUGAAUUAGCCGAUGUCGGAUUAGCUAGUUGGCGGGGUAAAGGCCCACCAAGGCGACGAUCCGUAGCUGGUCUGAGAGGAUGAUCAGCCACACUGGAACUGAGGCACGGUCCAGACUCCUACGGGAGGCAGCAGUGGGGAAUAUUGGACAAUGGGCGCAAGCCUGAUCCAGCCAUACCGCGUGAGUGAAGAAGGCCUUCGGGUUGUAAAGCCCUUUUGUUGGGAAAGAAAAGCAGCAGGUUAAUACCCCGCUGUUCUGACGGUACCCAAAGAAUAAGCACCGGCUAACUUCGUG
This 492-nucleotide ribosomal RNA is filed under the name uncultured bacterium. RNAcentral describes it as "partial 16S ribosomal RNA". It matches the Rfam family "Bacterial small subunit ribosomal RNA", at positions 29 to 507 of the family's 1533-position model. The record is from RNAcentral.